Molecule: ribosomal RNA, 1101 nt
Filed under: Citrobacter amalonaticus
Lineage: Bacteria; Pseudomonadati; Pseudomonadota; Gammaproteobacteria; Enterobacterales; Enterobacteriaceae
Description: bacterial LSU rRNA
Rfam family: Bacterial large subunit ribosomal RNA
Source: RNAcentral
CUUAUCGGCCACCAGCUUCAGCGCAUGCUCCAGCACAUUAACAUCGGCACCGGCUUUAUGGGCGUUUUCGCUCAGGUAGCGACGCCACUGGCGCGCCCCCGGGAUCGUAACUAUAACGGUCCUAAGGUAGCGAAAUUCCUUGUCGGGUAAGUUCCGACCUGCACGAAUGGCGUAAUGAUGGCCAGGCUGUCUCCACCCGAGACUCAGUGAAAUUGAACUCGCUGUGAAGAUGCAGUGUACCCGCGGCAAGACGGAAAGACCCCGUGAACCUUUACUAUAGCUUGACACUGAACACUGGUCCUUGAUGUGUAGGAUAGGUGGGAGGCUUUGAAGCGCGGACGCCAGUUCGUGUGGAGCCAUCCUUGAAAUACCACCCUUUAAUGGCUGGUGUUCUAACGUGGGCCCGUAAUCCGGGUUGCGGACAGUGUCUGGUGGGUAGUUUGACUGGGGCGGUCUCCUCCUAAAGAGUAACGGAGGAGCACGAAGGUUAGCUAAUCCUGGUCGGACAUCAGGAGGUUAGUGCAAAGGCAUAAGCUAGCUUGACUGCGAGCGUGACGGCGCGAGCAGGUGCGAAAGCAGGUCUUAGUGAUCCGGUGGUUCUGAAUGGAAGGGCCAUCGCUCAACGGAUAAAAGGUACUCCGGGGAUAACAGGCUGAUACCGCCCAAGAGUUCAUAUCGACGGCGGUGUUUGGCACCUCGAUGUCGGCUCAUCACAUCCUGGGGCUGAAGUAGGUCCCAAGGGUAUGGCUGUUCGCCAUUUAAAGUGGUACGCGAGCUGGGUUUAGAACGUCGUGAGACAGUUCGGUCCCUAUCUGCCGUGGGCGCUGGAGAAUUGAGGGGGGCUGCUCCUAGUACGAGAGGACCGGAGUGGACGCAUCACUGGUGUUCGGGUUGUCAUGCCAAUGGCACUGCCCGGUAGCUAAAUGCGGAAGAGAUAAGUGCUGAAAGCAUCUAAGCACGAAACUUGCUCCGAGAUGAGUUCUCCCUGACCCUUUAAGGGUCCUGAAGGAACGUUGAAGACGACGACGUUGAUAGGCCGGGUGUGUAAGCGCAGCGAUGCGUUGAGCUAACCGGUACUAAUGAACCGUGAGGCUUAACCUU